Molecule: RNA transcript, 1234 nt
Organism: Manihot esculenta (cassava)
Lineage: Eukaryota; Viridiplantae; Streptophyta; Magnoliopsida; Malpighiales; Euphorbiaceae
Gene name: chromatin remodeling protein SHL
Exons: 6
Source: RefSeq, a predicted model, not a curated record
UCUCUCCACACAAUCUCUCUCUUGUCUUCGUGCGAGUCAUAUGUAAUCCUGGAAAGACAGACAGCAUACUUACACCACUUCCACUUCCAUUCCAUGGCCAAACUAAAGGCACCCAGACGCACUCUUGACUCCUACACUCUCAAGCACAUCAACAAAACCAUUAAAGCUGGUGACUGCGUCUUGAUGCGACCCUCCGAUCCAUCCAACUCUUCCUACGUUGCCAGGAUCGAGCGGAUCGAAUCCGACGCCCGUGGUGCCAACGUCAGGGUCCAUGUCCGAUGGUACUACCGUCCGGAGGAGUCGAUCGGCGGCCGCCGGCAAUUUCAUGGCUCUAAAGAGGUCUUCCUUUCUGAUCAUUAUGAUAUACAGAGCGCUGAUACCAUCGAAGCCAAGUGUACGGUUCACAGUUUUAAGAGUUACACGAAACUUGACGCUGUUGGGAACGAGGAUUUUUUCUGUCGUUUUGAGUACAAUUCUUCCACUGGUGCAUUCAAUCCCGAUAGAGUCGCCGUGUAUUGCAAAUGCGAGAUGCCUUACAACCCUGAUGACUUGAUGGUUCAAUGUGAAGGCUGCAGUGACUGCAUUCUUGCAGAAAUUCAAGAAGGGAGAGAGUUUAGGGGCAACAAUUUAAAAGUAUGCCCCCUAUUGAGUGCAAUGAUGGAAUUGAUUCAAUUUAGGUCUCAUUUGUGCUGUCCCAUCGGAAUCUAGGGUUUCAUCCUGCAUGCAUAGAAAUGACUGCAGAGGAAGCUAAAAGACUUGAUCACUUCUUUUGCGAGAAUUGUUCAUCUGAAGGUCAAAAGAAGCUGCAAAAUUCCCAUGCUACUUCCAGAACACAAGAUACAAAGGUGGAAACAAAGAGGCGACGCAGGUGAUAAAGUAAAUAAAAAGAAUAUGUUGAUAUAGAGUGGAUAAAGGAGGAAGUGGAGUACUAUCUUUUCUUUAACUUGUGUAGGCGUCACACAAACACGGAGGCAAAGAUAUUUGCAUAGCAAGCUGUAUUAAUUUACGAGUCAAUGGCAGAGGGAAACUGGUUUGAAAACCUUUGUUAUGUUUAUAUGGUUUGAGGUUGUCACCUUGUUUUCCUUUGGAAGUCGAGGACGUGUUUGGUUGUUUAUAGUUGUGUUACGUAGAUCUCUAAUAUUCUGGUUUCUUGUUUAUAAAAUUUAGGUUUGUGUAUAAACCAAAACUAUUUUAACUUUAUUGAAUAGCAAAUAGAUACAAGCAUCUUUAUUUA